GGAGCAAACAGGCUUAGAUACCCUGGUAGUCCACCCCGUAAACGUUGGGAACUAGUUGUGGGGUCCUUUCCACGGAUUCCGUGACGCAGCUAACGCAUUAAGUUCCCCGCCUGGGGAGUACGGCCGCAAGGCUAAAACUCAAAGGAAUUGACGGGGACCCGCACAAGCGGCGGAGCAUGCGGAUUAAUUCGAUGCAACGCGAAGAACCUUACCAAGGCUUGACAUACACGAGAACACCCUAGAAAUAGGGGACUCUUUGGACACUCGUGAACAGGUGGUGCAUGGUUGUCGUCAGCUCGUGUCGUGAGAUGUUGGGUUAAGUCCCGCAACGAGCGCAACCCUCGUUCUAUGUUGCCAGCACGUAAUGGUGGGAACUCAUGGGAUACUGCCGGGGUCAACUCGGAGGAAGGUGGGGAUGACGUCAAAUCAUCAUGCCCCUUAUGUCUUGGGCUUCACGCAUGCUACAAUGGCCGGUACAAAGGGCUGCAAUACCGUGAGGUGGAGCGAAUCCCAAAAAGCCGGUCCCAGUUCGGAUUGAGGUCUGCAACUCGACCUCAUGAAGUGGGAGUCGCUAGUAAUCGCAGAUCAGCAACGCUGCGGUGAAUACGUUCCCGGGUCUUGUACACACCGCCCGUCAAGUCAUGAAAGUCGGUAACACCUGAAGCCGGUGGCCCAACCCUUGUGGAGGGAGCCGUCGAA
RNAcentral lists this ribosomal RNA (699 nucleotides) under Microbacterium sp. Its description in RNAcentral is "bacterial SSU rRNA". It matches the Rfam family "Bacterial small subunit ribosomal RNA", at positions 765 to 1460 of the family's 1533-position model. The record is from RNAcentral. Lineage: Bacteria; Bacillati; Actinomycetota; Actinomycetes; Micrococcales; Microbacteriaceae.